Molecule: non-coding RNA, 152 nt
Filed under: uncultured Vannella
Lineage: Eukaryota; Discosea; Flabellinia; Vannellidae
Source: RNAcentral
GGGAGUGGUCGUUUGGAGGAGCUCGGUGUUGAUCGUCUGUGCCUGUGGAGAGUGCGCACUGCAGCAGAGGGUAAGGGGCUGUGCAACGGCGAAGAGGAGAGAUGGCCAGCGAAGAGCCAAAGCCUCCGCAGCUGCCGUCUCUGGACCUCACG